GGUCUUGCUGUCACUUAUAGAUGGAUCCGCGCUGCAUUAGCUAGUUGGUAAGGUAACGGCUUACCAAGGCAACGAUGCAUAGCCGACCUGAGAGGGUGAUCGGCCACACUGGAACUGAGACACGGUCCAGACUCCUACGGGAGGCAGCAGUAGGGAAUCUUCCGCAAUGGGCGAAAGCCUGACGGAGCAACGCCGCGUGAGUGAUGAAGGUCUUCGGAUCGUAAAACUCUGUUAUUAGGGAAGAACAUAUGUGUAAGUAACUGUGCACAUCUUGACGGUACCUAAUCAGAAAGCCACGGCUAACUACGUGCCAGCAGCCGCGGUAAUACGUAGGUGGCAAGCGUUAUCCGGAAUUAUUGGGCGUAAAGCGCGCGUAGGCGGUUUUUUAAGUCUGAUGUGAAAGCCCACGGCUCAACCGUGGAGGGUCAUUGGAAACUGGAAAACUUGAGUGCAGAAGAGGAAAGUGGAAUUCCAUGUGUAGCGGUGAAAUGCGCAGAGAUAUGGAGGAACACCAGUGGCGAAGGCGACUUUCUGGUCUGUAACUGACGCUGAUGUGCGAAAGCGUGGGGAUCAAACAGGAUUAGAUACCCUGGUAGUCCACGCCGUAAACGAUGAGUGCUAAGUGUUAGGGGGUU
Molecule: ribosomal RNA, 635 nt
Filed under: Staphylococcus aureus
Lineage: Bacteria; Bacillati; Bacillota; Bacilli; Caryophanales; Staphylococcaceae
Description: bacterial SSU rRNA
Rfam family: Bacterial small subunit ribosomal RNA
Source: RNAcentral